Molecule: ribosomal RNA, 301 nt
Filed under: uncultured bacterium
Lineage: Bacteria
Description: partial 16S ribosomal RNA
Rfam family: Bacterial small subunit ribosomal RNA
Source: RNAcentral
CAGCAGCCGCGGGAAUACGAAGGGGGCUAGCGUUGUUCGGAUUUACUGGGCGUAAAGCGCACGUAGGCGGACUUUUAAGUCAGGGGUGAAAUCCCGGGGCUCAACCCCGGAACUGCCUUUGAUACUGGAAGUCUUGAGUAUGGUAGAGGUGAGUGGAAUUCCGAGUGUAGAGGUGAAAUUCGUAGAUAUUCGGAGGAACACCGGUGGCGAAGGCGGCUCACUGGACCAUUACUGACGCUGAGGUGCGAAAGCGUGGGGAGCAAACAGGAUUAGAUACCCGAGUAGUCCCUGUCUCUUAUAC